Molecule: long non-coding RNA, 3139 nt
Filed under: Columba livia (rock pigeon)
Lineage: Eukaryota; Metazoa; Chordata; Aves; Columbiformes; Columbidae
Description: partial uncharacterized LOC102088658, transcript variant X2
Source: RNAcentral
UUUUUCUAAGCUAUUUGAUCACUCUCUGGCUUUUCCACUGUUUUACAAGGGCAUGUUAAGAGAUGUACCAGAGCUGUGGAAAUUCUGCAGCCAUUUCUCAGAAAAACCAGCAGAGAAUUGCUUUAACAUAUGUUUCCAUCUUCUGCUUUUUGCAUUUCCCCCCUUGCGUUUUUCUUUUGCUUUGACCCGGUACAAACUCCUAUAUGCUCACAGUUCUUAUUCAACAGGUUGUACCGGGUUGGUGGAGUUUCCCCGCGACGCGCUGCGCAUCGUUUCCAGCCCAAUUCCUCCCUGUGGCCGGUGUCACCCGCGGCCCUGGGAAGGACCCAGGAAGGGGCUGCUCUGGCCCCUGGAUGUGCCUCAGCACAAUGAAGACAGCAAAGGUUCUCGGUUAAAAACACAACUUGGAAAACAAGACACCGACCAGCUUCUUAAAGGAAACUAAAGAGCCCACGGAACGCGAAGCUGCGAGUUCCCAGGUCCCGGGGGGACCGCGGGGGGAACGCGGGUCCAGCAACGGCACCGGACACGGAAACCACACAGAAAUUACACACAGAGCCCCACGGCUGCCCGCUCUGCGCGCCCGCUGCUGCACGGCCCCGCGCGGAGUUCGUGUCUCUGCGGCCGUCCGCUGGCAAUUGCAUAAUAAAUUACAUUCACGGGAAUUCUGCAUUGGAAAUAAAUGACAGAUUCUGCAGAAAUAAUUAGGGUUUUAUUGUUAAAAUGUCUUUAGGAAAGACAAAACAAUUUAAGCUGGACUCCUCUCCUGUUGAGGGACUGUUUGUUCCCAGUCUUGCACCUGAUUGAAUCGCACUGAUUUUAAACCCUAAUUGACAGCAAUGUUGUCACCAGCAUGUGUUCACUCCCCGGGAUCAAAUACUAUUGAGUUUUGACCUCAGAUAGUACAGUGAGGCUCACUUGUCAUGUUUACUCUCAUUUCUAGAUUUACAGUGAUGCGGCAGAAGAAGAAACGGUGGGUUUGGAGCAACAGUGUGAGUUCAGUUUUGAGUCCCCUCUGUCACCGGCCUGACCCCGCGGCCCUGGCGGCACAGCUGGCGCUUGUUUGACAAGACUGUUUGCUGGCGAUAAGCCGAGUUAUUGGGCUAUUUUUUCCUUUGAAAAAAAUGCAGAUCUCAUUAAUUCUGGAGGAUAAAAGCAUCAUAUGCAGAGAAGAAAUGGUGCCGGUGAAUCCAUGCGAUUCCCCGGACACGAGAAGAUAAAACGGCAGCGUGGGUGCAGGUGAGCGGCCGCUUUUUGUGUAAAAUAACAGGUGGACGGUUUGCCACUUUUUGUGGAGUCCAAGGGGAGAGACACGAGCGAAGAUCAGGGCAAAACCCCAACCAGCCCCGGUUUCCAGCGCCGAGGCUGCCCCGAGCUGGGCGGGGGGCGGGAACGCGCCUGUUCUCUGUGUAAUUUCUUUGGGCGGUGAAGCACGCGGGACGGCUGGAGCGCACACCCAGCAACUACAGCUACAAUUAUUUAGUUUCCCUUGAAGAAAUAAGUGAAUAACAGCUCUGGAAAUCAUAAGGCUGAGAACAUCUUUAUGCAUACUGCAUAACAAAAUAAACCCUUUACAUAAGACAGUAAUAAUGCCCAUUAAUGAAUAUACGUAUGGCAGAGAUUUUAAUUCCAUGCAUAUGAUUUAAUAAUCACAGAAAAAAAAAAAAACAUACAAAGAAAAAAAUAAAAAAUAAAACCUGCUUAAGCAUAAUGAAAAUUCCUUUUGCAUUGCACUUGAGGAGAUGGGCACGAGCCGGGCGGCCCGGACCCUGCCUGCGCAACUGGUUCUUGCUCCCAACACUUGGACAUUGUCCCAGUAAUUCUACUCCUUUCGUAUUUAUUCUUGGUUUUUUUGUACCUAAAACAUAUAUAUGAACUUCUCCGUUAAUGCUCACAGUUAUUAUAAUGGCUAUUAUAAUGGUUUCAAGCAAACAGCUCUUGUUUAAAAAAACAAAACAACUCUCUAAUGUACUGUAAGUAAAUACGAUAAUUUUGGGAUUGGAAGCCGCUUUCUCUCUACUGGGAAGUAAUUUUUAAUCUUACAUAGUUUGCAUUAAUGUCCAAAAGCAAAUGAAGAUGACUGGAAAUGCGUUUCUUUGUUGAGAAUAACUUGUGUGUGAUGAUGCAUACGUGGGGUGGUUGAUUUUGUUUCCCCUUUUGUUCUUUAAAGUGUCAGCGUUGCCUAUAGAAGCUGCUGAGAGGAAAACUGAGCUGGAAGGCACAUCUGCAGCCCCAGGUCCCGUCUUCACUUGCCGCUGAUGAGCCCGAGCGUGUCAGAGGGGAGAGUUCACGGGGGAGAAUCGCUUUCUCUGGUCAGUGAGGCACCGGCUUUCUGCGUCAAGCGCUGGGGAGCGUCUGUGCCCCCCGGCAGCCGCGUUCCUCCCGCUGCGCUGACGGAGGUGACGGGGACGGGGGGCGCGGGCCGGGACCGGGCGAUGCUGCUCACGUCCGUCACGCAGCGCCGAGCCCAGAACGCUCCACGUGUAAACUUGGAAACAUGGAAUCAAACGCAGACCUCCAACAACGCGACGUUGCGCUCUCCUCGGGCACGGAGAUCCCGACCGCCGGUUCAUCACACAAGCAGGUGAAUACUGAAUUUGUGGUAAAAUGGUGCAACAAAGAUGAGUUUUCCAGAAAACUGAAAGCUGAAGUAAAGAUUUCAGAAUGACUUCAAAACGCACGUGUCUUCUGCUUUAUUUCUCAACACACUCAACCGAUCACCCAUUUCCUCCUUUAUUUCCUCCUUUCCUUUCCUGAAGUGCUCUUGGCUGGAGUGAGUCUCUUGAACGCACCAAUUCAUGGAGACGGCUCUAGAAAAGGUGGCGAUUCGCAAACCCUGAAUCUGUAAGGCCGGGUUUAUCUUCCCAAAGCAUCGAUCCUCCCCUCCCCCCCGCGCGGUCCCACAUCUUCCCUUCUCCUCCGAUUGGGACGGAAAUGACGACAAUUCUCCCGAGGACAAAAUCAACUUUGAAAAGCACUCAAUCCUCAUCCAGCCCCGUGACGGGAUGAAAACUGCGCGGGCUUCCUCGACGGCUGCAAAACUGCUCACGAAAUGGCAUCAUCACCAGAGGGUUCUGUGUCGAGAAUCCCAAAGCCUAUAACAAGUCAUUAAAAAUUGUGCAUCGAAGGGUUUUUUUGU